This 573-nucleotide ribosomal RNA is filed under the name Pichia barkeri. Its description in RNAcentral is "eukaryotic LSU rRNA". It matches the Rfam family "Eukaryotic large subunit ribosomal RNA", at positions 62 to 648 of the family's 3401-position model. The record is from RNAcentral. Lineage: Eukaryota; Fungi; Ascomycota; Pichiomycetes; Pichiales; Pichiaceae.
AAACCAACAGGGAUUGCCUCAGUAGCGGCGAGUGAAGCGGCAAGAGCUCAGAUUUGAAAUCUCACCCCUUGUGGGUGCGAGUUGUAAAUUGCAGGUUGGAGUCUCGGUUUAGACGUGUGUGCAAGUCCCUUGGAACAGGGCGCCACUGAGGGUGAGAGCCCCGUAGUGUGCACGAUCGACGCUGUGAGGCCCUUCUGACGAGUCGAGUUGUUUGGGAAUGCAGCUCUAAGUGGGUGGUAAAUUCCAUCUAAGGCUAAAUAUUGGCGAGAGACCGAUAGCGAACAAGUACUGUGAAGGAAAGAUGAAAAGCACUUUGAAAAGAGAGUGAAACAGCACGUGAAAUUGUUGAAAGGGAAGGGUAUUGGGCUCGACAUGGGAUUUACGCAUCGUUGCCUCUCGUGGGCGGCGCUCUGGGUUUUUCCUGGGCCAGCAUCGGUUUCUGUUGCAGGAUAAGGACCUUUGGAAUGUGGCUCCUCGGAGUGUUAUAGCCAUUGGUAGAUGCUGCAUAUGGGGACCGAGGGCUGCGGCGGACUCGUUUUCGUCUCGGAUGCUGGCACAACGGCGCAAUACCGC